UGGCUCUGCUAUCACUUCUGGAUGGACCCGCGGCGCAUUAGCUAGUUGGUGAGGUAACGGCUCACCAAGGCGAUGAUGCGUAGCCGACCUGAGAGGGUAAUCGGCCACAUUGGGACUGAGACACGGCCCAGACUCCUACGGGAGGCAGCAGUAGGGAAUCUUCCACAAUGGACGCAAGUCUGAUGGAGCAACGCCGCGUGAGUGAAGAAGGGUUUCGGCUCGUAAAGCUCUGUUGUUAAAGAAGAACGUGGGUGAGAGUAACUGUUCACCCAGUGACGGUAUUUAACCAGAAAGCCACGGCUAACUACGUGCCAGCAGCCGCGGUAAUACGUAGGUGGCAAGCGUUAUCCGGAUUUAUUGGGCGUAAAGCGAGCGCAGGCGGUCUUUUAAGUCUAAUGUGAAAGCCUUCGGCUCAACCGAAGAAGUGCA
Molecule: ribosomal RNA, 429 nt
Filed under: uncultured Pediococcus sp.
Lineage: Bacteria; Bacillati; Bacillota; Bacilli; Lactobacillales; Lactobacillaceae
Description: bacterial SSU rRNA
Rfam family: Bacterial small subunit ribosomal RNA
Source: RNAcentral